GACGAACGCUGGCGGCGUGCUUAACACAUGCAAGUCGAACGGAAAGGCCCUGCUUUUGUGGGGUGCUCGAGUGGCGAACGGGUGAGUAACACGUGAGUAACCUGCCAUUGACUUUGGGAUAACUUCAGGAAACUGGGGCUAAUCCCGGAUAGGAGCUCCUGCUGCAUGGUGGGGGUUGGUAAGUUUCGGCGGUUGGGGAUGGACUGGCGGCUUAUCAGCUUGUUGGUGGGGUAGUGUCUUAGCAAGGCUUUGAAAGGUAGCCGGCCUGGUAGGGUGAGAUGACACGUUGGAACUGGAAUACGACCCAGACUACUACGGUAGGCAGCAGUGGGGUAGAUUGUAUUAUGGGCGGAAGCCUGAUGCAGCAACGCCGCGUGCGGUAUGACGGCCAUCGGGUUGUAAUCCGCUGUCGCCUGUGACGAAGCGUGAGUGACGGUAAUGGGUAAAGAAGCACCGGCUAACUACGUG
RNAcentral lists this ribosomal RNA (468 nucleotides) under uncultured bacterium. RNAcentral describes it as "partial 16S ribosomal RNA". It matches the Rfam family "Bacterial small subunit ribosomal RNA", at positions 28 to 507 of the family's 1533-position model. The record is from RNAcentral.